Bacidia gigantensis is the source of this 141-nucleotide non-coding RNA. Lineage: Eukaryota; Fungi; Ascomycota; Lecanoromycetes; Lecanorales; Ramalinaceae. The record is from the annotation of a RefSeq genome assembly.
GGUUCUGUGGUCUAGUGUUCGUCUUUCCGCUCUCUCCAUAUCUCGUUUCCCUUGCUAAUCAUUUCCUAGGGUAUGAUUCUCGCUUAGGGACAACCUAAGUAUAUUUGCGAGAGGCCCCGUGUUCGAGUCACGGCAGAAGUA